RNAcentral lists this ribosomal RNA (497 nucleotides) under uncultured bacterium. Its description in RNAcentral is "partial 16S ribosomal RNA". It matches the Rfam family "Bacterial small subunit ribosomal RNA", at positions 28 to 507 of the family's 1533-position model. The record is from RNAcentral.
GAUGAACGCUGGCGGCGUGCCUAAUACAUGCAAGUCGAGCGAACAGAUGAGGAGCUUGCUCCUCUGACGUUAGCGGCGGACGGGUGAGUAACACGUGGAUAACCUACCUAUAAGACUGGGAUAACUUCGGGAAACCGGAGCUAAUACCGGAUAAUAUAUUGAACCGCAUGGUUCAAUAGUGAAAGACGGUUUUGCUGUCACUUAUAGAUGGAUCCGCGCCGCAUUAGCUAGUUGGUAAGGUAACGGCUUACCAAGGCAACGAUGCGUAGCCGACCUGAGAGGGUGAUCGGCCACACUAGAACUGAGACACGGUACAGACUCCUACGGGAGGCAGCAGUAGGGAAUCUUCCGCAAUGAGCGAAAGCCUGACGGAGCAACGCCGCGUGAGUGAUGAAGGUCUUCGGAUCUUAAAACUCUGUUAUUAGGGGAGAACAAAUGUGUAAGUAACUAUGCACGUCUUGACGGUACCUAAUCAGAAAGCCACGGCUAACUACGUG